UCGCAGGCUGCAACCCGCCUGCGUGAAGUCGGAAUCGCUAGUAAUCGCGGAUCAGCAUGCCGCGGUGAAUACGUUCCCGGGCCUUGUACACACCGCCCGUCUCACCAUGGGAGUUUGUAACGCCCAAAGUCGGUGGCCUAACCUUUAUGGAGGGAGCCGCCUAAGGCGGGACAGAUGACUGGGGUGAAGUCGUAACAAGGUAAC
This 204-nucleotide ribosomal RNA is filed under the name uncultured bacterium. Its description in RNAcentral is "partial 16S ribosomal RNA". It matches the Rfam family "Bacterial small subunit ribosomal RNA", at positions 1298 to 1500 of the family's 1533-position model. The record is from RNAcentral.